Callithrix jacchus (white-tufted-ear marmoset) is the source of this 102-nucleotide Y RNA. It matches the Rfam family "Y RNA". From Rfam's summary of the family: Y RNAs are components of the Ro ribonucleoprotein particle (Ro RNP), in association with Ro60 and La proteins. The Y RNAs and Ro60 and La proteins are well conserved, but the function of the Ro RNP is not known. In humans the RNA component can be one of four small RNAs -- hY1, hY3, hY4 and hY5. The record is from Ensembl. Lineage: Eukaryota; Metazoa; Chordata; Mammalia; Primates; Cebidae.
GGCUGGUCCGAGUGCAGUGGUGUUUACAACUAAUUGAUCACAACCAGUUACAGAUUUCUUUGUUCCUUCUCCACUCCCACUGCUUCACUUGACUAGCCUAAA